Molecule: non-coding RNA, 280 nt
Organism: Chiloscyllium plagiosum (whitespotted bambooshark)
Lineage: Eukaryota; Metazoa; Chordata; Chondrichthyes; Orectolobiformes; Hemiscylliidae
Source: RefSeq, a predicted model, not a curated record
UGGGCGCGGAUGUGUGGAUGGAGAGCUGUUGAGAUACCAGUGAUCAUUGCCAAAGCCGUGUUGCCUGUGGACAGGGUGAUGUUUGACUUCCUUGUACAGCUGCAGUUUGAAUGGUGAAGGCGCUCCCACAACGUGGUUAGAUCCUGCAAGUUUCCCCAAUGAGCAUAGUCCAUCGAAAUGAUGUGGCUAACUUUGGCCAACUCAUUUCUUUCCGAGCCUCUAUAGCCUGAAGAGUGACCAGAAGCAAUUACUCCACAAAUGUGGGAACAUUACUGACGAG